This 253-nucleotide ribosomal RNA is filed under the name uncultured bacterium. RNAcentral's name for it is "partial 16S ribosomal RNA". It matches the Rfam family "Bacterial small subunit ribosomal RNA", at positions 524 to 776 of the family's 1533-position model. The record is from RNAcentral.
UACGUAGGGUGCGAGCGUUAAUCGGAAUUACUGGGCGUAAAGCGUGCGCAGGCGGUUUGGUAAGACAGAUGUGAAAUCCCCGGGCUUAACCUGGGAAUGGCAUUUGUGACUGCCCGGCUAGAGUGUGUCAGAGGGAGGUAGAAUUCCACGUGUAGCAGUGAAAUGCGUAGAUAUGUGGAGGAAUACCGAUGGCGAAGGCAGCCUCCUGGGAUAACACUGACGCUCAUGCACGAAAGCGUGGGGAGCAAACAGG